Non-coding RNA from Cupriavidus metallidurans CH34, 150 nucleotides. NCBI's taxonomy places the organism in Bacteria, Pseudomonadati, Pseudomonadota, Betaproteobacteria, Burkholderiales, Burkholderiaceae. The record is from Rfam.
CCUGCUAUGCGACUAGCAGUAGCCUAGGGAGACAUGCGUCACGGGUAACUGUGGGGUGUGAAGCUCUCCUGACAACGAAGCCCCCGCAAGGGUGCGUAACUGCCGAGAGGUAGAGACGCAGAGACUCCUAGCAGCAAUGGGGUCGAGGAG